Molecule: unclassified non-coding RNA, 657 nt
Filed under: uncultured fungus
Lineage: Eukaryota; Fungi
Description: partial contains ITS1, 5.8S rRNA and ITS2
Rfam family: Eukaryotic large subunit ribosomal RNA (bases 419-657)
Source: RNAcentral
UUAACCUUUGACGAUUGACUCAUGUUGCCUCGGUGGGUUCGCCCGCCGGAGGAUACAUCAAAACUCCUGUUUUAACGGUGUUGUCUGAGCUACAAGCAACGAAUCAAAACUUUCAACAACGGAUCUCUUGGUUCUGGCAUCGAUGAAGAACGCAGCGAAAUGCGAUAAGUAGUGUGAAUUGCAGAAUUCAGUGAAUCAUCGAAUCUUUGAACGCACAUUGCGCCCCUUGGUAUCCCGAGGGGCAUGCCUGUUCGAGCGUCAUUUCACCCCUCAAGCCUGGCUUGGUGUUGGGCGACGUCCUCUUUGGGGACGCGCCUCAAAACGCUCGGCGGCGUGGCACCGGCUUUAAGCGUAGCAGAAUCUUAUCUUUCGCUUUGAAAGUCGGGGCCACAUCUGCCGGAAGACCUACUCGCAAGGUUGACCUCGGAUCAGGUAGGGAUACCCGCUGAACUUAAGCAUAUCAAUAAGCGGAGGAAAAGAAACCAACAGGGAUUGCCUCAGUAACGGCGAGUGAAGCGGCAACAGCUCAAAUUUGAAAUCUGGCUCUUCUAGAGCCCGAGUUGUAAUUUGUAGAGGAUGCUUCGGCGUUGGCUCCGGUCUAAGUUCCUUGGAACAGGACGUCAUGGAGGGUGAGAAUCCCGUAUGUGAUCGGUUGCU